Molecule: long non-coding RNA, 1394 nt
Filed under: Nicotiana benthamiana
Lineage: Eukaryota; Viridiplantae; Streptophyta; Magnoliopsida; Solanales; Solanaceae
Description: long non-coding RNA (NBEN_LNC042081)
Source: RNAcentral
GCUGCUAGCUAUUUCCCUCCAGAUGACAUGAGGACCCUAUCAUCCCUGGAUCAAUUCUUAGUGUCUGUUGGAGCAGUGAAGAAAACCGUCUCAGGUCGUAAAAGAUGACAGAAAUGUACAAAUGUUUACUUAAUGUUAGUAAUGGAAAUGCAUUAGCAAGAUGAAAGCAAAGGUUUUUAAACUUGUUAGAAAGAAAUUGCAAUCAUAGCUUAAAGAGUAAUCACAGGAUUUUGGUUGAUUCUAUGCACCAUAUAUAUAAUUGAGCUCUGAGCUUGAAGCCCAGUAUAACAUUCUCGACGCUUGGUAAUACAUCUUAAUCUUAAGCAAAAGAAAUAGCAGAUGUUCGAGUCCUAUAAUUACAAGAGGUGACAUAACACCAACAUAAUAAGCCUAAAACUAUAUGACUAACAAGAUAAAUACAUCCCAGUUUAACCUCUGAAACAGUUUUUCAAGUCAAACUGCACAAGAAACCCAAGGUAGUGCAGAUGAGCUGCAUCUCAAAUAGAUAGGACUCCCAUGAAUGUAGAGCGGAGGAGAUCAAACAUGCAGCUGGUCAUCAUCUCCAUCUCCAGUUUCAUCUUCGAAGUCUAAGCCUACGAUGCUCAUCUUGCCAACGUUAACUGCAAGUUCUAGCUGUUAGGAAUGUGCCAGAGAAGAUACGAAGGGUAGAGAGAAAUCACCUCCAUGCAACAACAAAAUAUGCUUAACAUUGGAUUUGCAAAUAAAACACCAACCAGACAUUUUUAAAUUUGUAUUUGUACCUUUCCGUUGAGGAGAGAUGGCUUAAGUAGGGUCUGGAUGUAAUCUGGUCAAAUUACCACAGAGACUUGUUCGGCUGAUUCUUAAAUCAAAACCAACUCCAUUAAAGCUUCGUAUCUAAUUAAGUAGUCGCAGAGAUUUAUGCAGAAGGUCUUCAUUUAGCCAGUAUUCAGGAGGCAAAAGAAAAAAAAAUAAAGGACGCAUUAACAGGUAAAUAUCUCAAAAGAUACCCAAGGAUCACCAAGAGUUGCAGGAAAGAAGGAAAUAUAAGUCAAGCACAGUACUAUUUUGAUGAGAUCAAGACAAAAUUGUUUAUCCGUGAUAUGACAGUCUGGAAAAAUAUUUCAUCCAUUCUAAGCAUGCUGCAGAUCAUAACAGGGUCCACACUUUCAGAACAUAAUACUACAAAUUGGUGCAAAUGAUGGUGAAUUUUCCAGGUUGGAUGUUUAAUUGAGGUAAAGAUUUGAAAAACCUCCUUCCCUCUUUGUGUCCAUUAUUAGGAAAAAGAAGGUGCAGGAGAGACGGUAAACUUUGACCUGCCAUGAGGAGCAGCAGCACAGAAAAGUAUACCCAAGUCAUGAAACCUAGCAGUCAAACUGUUGUUUGAUAUACAUAGAAGAAAAUUUAUUUGACAU